Molecule: ribosomal RNA, 429 nt
Filed under: Bacteroidota bacterium
Lineage: Bacteria; Pseudomonadati; Bacteroidota
Description: Bacteroidetes bacterium partial 16S ribosomal RNA
Rfam family: Bacterial small subunit ribosomal RNA
Source: RNAcentral
UAGGGAAUCUUCCGCAAUGGACGCAAGUCUGACGGAGCAACGCCGCGUGAGUGAAGAAGGAUUUCGGUUCGUAAAACUCUGUUGUUAGAGAAGAACAGCGCAUAGAGUAACUGUUAUGCGUGUGACGGUAUCUAACCAGAAAGCCACGGCUAACUACGUGCCAGCAGCCGCGGUAAUACGUAGGUGGCAAGCGUUGUCCGGAUUUAUUGGGCGUAAAGCUAGCGCAGGCGGUCAAUUAAGUCUGAUGUGAAAGCCCCCGGCUCAACCGGGGAGGGUCAUUGGAAACUGGUUGACUUGAGUGCAGAAGAGGAGAGUGGAAUUCCAUGUGUAGCGGUUAAAUGCGUUGAUAUAUGGAGGAACACCAGUGGCGAAGGCGACUCUCUGGUCUGUAACUGACGCUGAGGCUCGAAAGCGUGGGUAGCAAACAGG